GAUGAGUUCAGAAGACGGUGAAUGACCCAUUGGAUGGAAAUGCUGAAAUCCUUCUUUCUCAAUGGCGAAAAGGGCAAUAAAAUUUAUGACAGCUGAGUUAUCUGCUCACCAAGGUAUAAAAAGCAGUCAGAAGACGAGACCAUUUCAUGACCACGCAUAGGUCGCUGUAAAUCAAAACUCACACUUUUCCAGGAGUGUUCAUUCAUAAAGGAAGGAACGAAGCAUGAAGAAGCUGGCAUUCUCCCUCCUGUUGGUUUUUGUCUUAGGGACUGCAGCUCAUGUUCUGACACCCAAGAAUGAUACGAAGGAAGAAAUGGAA
Molecule: long non-coding RNA, 319 nt
Organism: Podarcis muralis (Common wall lizard)
Lineage: Eukaryota; Metazoa; Chordata; Lepidosauria; Squamata; Lacertidae
Source: RefSeq, a predicted model, not a curated record